RNAcentral lists this transfer RNA (70 nucleotides) under Fukomys damarensis (Damara mole-rat). It matches the Rfam family "tRNA". Rfam says of the family: Transfer RNA (tRNA) molecules are approximately 80 nucleotides in length. The record is from Rfam by way of RNAcentral. Lineage: Eukaryota; Metazoa; Chordata; Mammalia; Rodentia; Bathyergidae.
GUGGGUGUAGCUAGUGGUAGAGCUCCUGCUUAGCAUGCAGGAGGCCCUGGGUUCGAUUCCCAGCACAACA